Molecule: long non-coding RNA, 426 nt
Organism: Oreochromis niloticus (Nile tilapia)
Lineage: Eukaryota; Metazoa; Chordata; Actinopteri; Cichliformes; Cichlidae
Exons: 3
Source: RefSeq, a predicted model, not a curated record
UAUAGUGCAGAUGAUCUCACUUAAUGCAGGAAAUGACAUUGUCGCGCAAAAACCUCAUUCAGUCGUGGUCAUGUUACCUGGUAUUUUGAACCAAGCUUCCGAGCAGUGUUUUUAAACAUCUGUGCUUCACAAGCUCGACUCAGUGCCGAAACAUUUGUUUUGAGCUUCCCAUCCCCAGUAAACAGGUGUGUUUACAGGUUGUAGCUGCAGAAGCCUCCUAUUGGCCAGUUUGCUUGCAAAUUGACUCCGUUUGAUCGUGGUUGGAGUGGUUUCCAUACCUAAUCGAAUCAGUUUGGAUCACUUUGCUUCACCUGAACACCCUGACAGUAUUUACACACUGCUGUCUGACUGCAUUCAGCUGACACUGAGAUGAAGCAGAAAAGAAGCAGCUGGUGAAGGUAGAAAGUGUGUGUGAGCUGAUGUGGA